RNAcentral lists this ribosomal RNA (253 nucleotides) under uncultured bacterium. Its description in RNAcentral is "partial 16S ribosomal RNA". It matches the Rfam family "Bacterial small subunit ribosomal RNA", at positions 524 to 776 of the family's 1533-position model. The record is from RNAcentral.
UACGUAGGGGGCAAGCGUUGUCCGGAUUUACUGGGCGUAAAGAGCGUGUAGGCGGCCACGCAGGUCCGUUGUGAAAACUGGAGGCUCAACUUCCAGCCGUCGACGGAAACCGUGUGGCUAGAGUCCGGAAGAGGAGAGUGGAAUUCCUGGUGUAGCGGUGAAAUGCGCAGAUAUCAGGAAGAACACCGGUGGCGAAGGCGGGUCUCUGGGCCGUAACUGACGCUGAGGAGCGAAAGCGUGGGGAGCGAACAGG